RNAcentral lists this ribosomal RNA (896 nucleotides) under uncultured Streptococcus sp. RNAcentral's name for it is "bacterial SSU rRNA". It matches the Rfam family "Bacterial small subunit ribosomal RNA". Lineage: Bacteria; Bacillati; Bacillota; Bacilli; Lactobacillales; Streptococcaceae. The record is from RNAcentral.
GACGAACGCUGGCGGCGUGCCUAAUACAUGCAAGUAGAACGCUGAAGGAGGAGCUUGCUUCUCUGGAUGAGUUGCGAACGGGUGAGUAACGCGUAGGUAACCUGCCUGGUAGCGGGGGAUAACUAUUGGAAACGAUAGCUAAUACCGCAUAAUAGUAGAUGUUGCAUGACAUUUGCUUAAAAGGUGCAAUUGCAUCACUACCAGAUGGACCUGCGUUGUAUUAGCUAGUUGGUGGGGUAACGGCUCACCAAGGCGACGAUACAUAGCCGACCUGAGAGGGUGAUCGGCCACACUGGGACUGAGACACGGCCCAGACUCCUACGGGAGGCAGCAGUAGGGAAUCUUCGGCAAUGGACGGAAGUCUGACCGAGCAACGCCGCGUGAGUGAAGAAGGUUUUCGGAUCGUAAAGCUCUGUUGUAAGAGAAGAACGAGUGUGAGAGUGGAAAGUUCACACUGUGACGGUAUCUUACCAGAAAGGGACGGCUAACUACGUGCCAGCAGCCGCGGUAAUACGUAGGUCCCGAGCGUUGUGCGGAUUUAUUGGGCGUAAAGCGAGCGCAGGCGGUUAGAUAAGUCUGAAGUUAAAGGCUGUGGCUUAACCAUAGUACGCUUUGGAAACUGUUUAACUUGAGUGCUAGAGGGGAGAGUGUAAUUCCGUGGGUAGCGGUGAAAUGCGUAGAUGUUUGGAGGAACCCCGGUGCCUAAAGCGGCUCUCUGGCUUGGAACUGACGCUGAGGCUCGAAAGCUGGGGGAUGAAACUGGAGUAGAUACCCUGGUUGUCCAUGGGCGAUGCUCUCUUGGGAUAUCGGCUUUGCCAUUCCGUCGAUGGCCGGGUGAACUGUGUGCGCGUUCUUUGUUCUCUUUAAUAUUGGUUAUUACCGUGCGCUGGUGUUGG